This is a non-coding RNA of Schistosoma mansoni, 45 nucleotides long. The record is from Rfam. NCBI's taxonomy places the organism in Eukaryota, Metazoa, Platyhelminthes, Trematoda, Strigeidida, Schistosomatidae.
AUCCAGUUGACGAGUCCCGAAUAAGAUGAAACGCGUGUCCUGGAU